GGGUGAGUCGAAUAGCUGGUGCGUUCGCCGGUCUGAAAAGCCGGAGGAAGAGGAUCGAUCCCUCUCUCACCCACCA
This 76-nucleotide transfer RNA is filed under the name Rhizobium phage RHph_I1_18. Its description in RNAcentral is "tRNA-Phe". It matches the Rfam family "tRNA". From Rfam's summary of the family: Transfer RNA (tRNA) molecules are approximately 80 nucleotides in length. Their secondary structure includes four short double-helical elements and three loops (D, anti-codon, and T loops). Lineage: Duplodnaviria; Heunggongvirae; Uroviricota; Caudoviricetes. The record is from RNAcentral.